GAUGAACGCUGGCGGCGUGCCUAAUACAUGCAAGUCGAGCGAACAGACGAGGAGCUUGCUCCUCUGACGUUAGCGGCGGACGGGUGAGUAACACGUGGAUAACCUACCUAUAAGACUGGGAUAACUUCGGGAAACCGGAGCUAAUACCGGAUAAUAUAUUGAACCGCAUGGUUCAAUAGUGAAAGACGGUUUUGCUGUCACUUAUAGAUGGAUCCGCGCCGCAUUAGCUAGUUGGUAAGGUAACGGCUUACCAAGGCAACGAUGCGUAGCCGACCUGAGAGGGUGAUCGGCCACACUGGAAGUGAGACACGGUCCAGACUCCUACGGGAGGCAGCAGUAGGGAAUCUUCCGCAAAGGGCGAAAGCCUGACGGAGCAACGCCGCGUGAGUGAUGAAGGUCUUCGGAUCGUAAAACUCUGUUAUUAGGGAAGAACAAAUGUGUAAGUAACUAUGCACGUCUUGACGGUACCUAAUCAGAAAGCCACGGCUAACUACGUG
This 497-nucleotide ribosomal RNA is filed under the name uncultured bacterium. Its description in RNAcentral is "partial 16S ribosomal RNA". It matches the Rfam family "Bacterial small subunit ribosomal RNA", at positions 28 to 507 of the family's 1533-position model. The record is from RNAcentral.